Molecule: long non-coding RNA, 442 nt
Filed under: Nicotiana benthamiana
Lineage: Eukaryota; Viridiplantae; Streptophyta; Magnoliopsida; Solanales; Solanaceae
Description: long non-coding RNA (NBEN_LNC041381)
Source: RNAcentral
UAACCGCGGACUAUGAACAGUAACGCCGCCAUGAACAGUAACCACACAUGCUGUGAACAGUACUCUGACAAUGAACAGUAACGCGGGUCCCAUGAAUAGUGCACGUGAAUAAUAACGCGUGAAUAGUGAAUAGUAACGGGGUACAUGAAUAGUAAAUUUUGUCUCACAUCAACAGAAUCAACUUUACCGUUAGCAGAAAAUCAGAAUGAACAUUUGUUUAACUGUAAUACCGAACAAUUUUAUAGCUGAUAGAGUUAUGUACCUAUGAUUUAUAGUUUAUUGGCUUACUCACCAGUUGAUGCAAUGAUGAAGCAAACGAAGAGAGCAAGAAAGGCAGCAUAGAGAGACUUAUCCAUAUUACUGAAUUGUUUUUCUUGAUUUUUAAUUAAUGACUAAGCGAGGAUUUAACAUUCACAUUUUAUAGAGAAAGGAAAGAGGGAAA